CACCUGCUGAAUUUAAGCAUAUAAGUAAGCGGAGGACAAGAAACUAAACAGGAUCCCCAUAGUAAUGGCGAAUGAACCGGGAUAAACUCAGCAUGGAAAUUGGGGCCUUUGGCUUUGACUUGUAAUCUGGUGAGGCAUUGCCAACUGAGGCGCAUAUGUAAGUCUCUUGGAAAAGAGCAUCAACGAAGGUGAGAGUCCUGAUUGUCAUGUGCAGCCCCCCUGUGCACGGUGUGCCUUCUAAGAGUCACGUUCCUUGGGAUUGGAGCGCAAAUUGGGUGGUAACUUUCAUCUGAAGUUAAACAAUGGUUUGGGACCGAUAGGAAACAAGUACCAUGAGGGAAAGGUGAAAAGGACUUUGGAAAGAGAGUUAAAAGUGCCUGAAAUUGCUGAAGGGGAAGCGAAUGGAACCAGUGGUGCUGGGUGAGAUUGUCACAUGCUGCAAGGAUUGGUUGCUGCCACAACGCAAGUGUGCUGGCAAUUUGUGAACUGCUAGUGUGUGGUGUGUCUUACCUAGUGGGUCAUUGUGGGUUUAUGCAUUAAGAUAAAUCAAAGCAAGCGGGAGCAAGUUUACGAGUUUGUGAAUGUGUGUUGUUAUGCUUGUGCGUAAGCUUUAGUGUUUGUCUGGCUGCAGGGCUGUCCAUCCUCAAGCUUUGCUGUGGUUGCGAUGAGCACAACCUUCUGCACAGAUCUUGACGAAAUGGUUUCAUUCGACCCGUCUUGAAACACGGACCAAGG
RNAcentral lists this ribosomal RNA (735 nucleotides) under Dinophysis acuminata. RNAcentral describes it as "eukaryotic LSU rRNA". It matches the Rfam family "Eukaryotic large subunit ribosomal RNA", at positions 23 to 671 of the family's 3401-position model. Lineage: Eukaryota; Dinophyceae; Dinophysales; Dinophysaceae. The record is from RNAcentral.